Chinchilla lanigera (long-tailed chinchilla) is the source of this 421-nucleotide long non-coding RNA. RefSeq lists it as uncharacterized. The transcript is spliced from 3 exons. The record is from RefSeq and is a predicted model, not a curated record. NCBI's taxonomy places the organism in Eukaryota, Metazoa, Chordata, Mammalia, Rodentia, Chinchillidae.
ACCGUGGAGGCAGAGACUAGAGUGAUGCAGCUGUGGACAAGGAAUGACAGGGAUUUCUGGUCAACACCCCAAGAGAGAAAGAGAAAAGGACCCUCUAUCACAACCUUCAGAAGCUGCCAGCCCCUCAUAAAACAAACCACAAAGUCCUCCAGAGGAGAACUCUCACCGCAGCCUGUGCAGAGGGAAGGAUCGGAUACUCCGGCUCCCGACUUCAUCCCCUGAACAUCACUUUUCUCUCAGGCAACUCUGCAUCCUCCCAUAAGCCCAUUAUACAUCUGCUCCCACUCUGACACUAAAGAGCCACCCUCCCCCUGUUUGCCUGAGGAUAAGAGCACCUUGCUGAUUUUAAAAGAAAGGAAAAACUAAGGGCCUGCAGAUGGGAUUCACUACAAAGGAGCAUAAUAAAACUUUUUUAUCCUGA